This is a non-coding RNA of Ciona intestinalis (vase tunicate), 1316 nucleotides long. NCBI's taxonomy places the organism in Eukaryota, Metazoa, Chordata, Ascidiacea, Phlebobranchia, Cionidae. The record is from RefSeq and is a predicted model, not a curated record.
AAUUAUAAAACCGUAUCCUCACGACUCCAAUAGACCGUUGUUAAUUGUUGAAAACACGAUCAGACUAUUUUGAUAUUAUGUGGUAAAAUUGUCCCGUCUUUUUCCACGCUACUAUAAUGCAAUGCAAACUAGUUUCCUGCGUUUCGCGAUUAAACGAUACCAAAAACUUAAUGCAAAGCUUUCCCAACUACCAACCGCCCAUAGGUAGUGGGAGUCUAUGUAGCCAGCCAGUCUAAAUUAUCCCUAUGUGAGAGAAGCAAGGCGAUGCUUGUCAGGAUUCUUAUUGUAUUAUUGGUAGUUGCCUUUAUAGGCGCUUCGUCUGCUGUAGCUCAACGUAGACGGCUGUAUUGCAAAAACACGAAAUAUUGCCCUGGAACCAUGACGCCCAGUCGGAAUAAUAACGCUCGACGUCGCGCAUGGAGCUCCUGGGAUUUCAGGCAAUUGGAUGAUGAGAUACUGGAAUAUGCACUAGGAAAGAGCAUUGCAAGCAGAAAUGCUGACCAUGUAAUGCUAGAGCUAUUCAAUAUGGAGCAAUAGACUAAGGUUUCCUGUCAAGAGAAGUGACCACGGUAAUAAGAACUUGUAUUGAUUUUGUUGAAAUAAAUACGAAGUUCCAACUGUGAGGAAUCUUUUAUAUGUAGAAGAGACAUGCAGUAUCAGUUUUAGGAACCUAGAUCUUGGCUGUUUACCUAGCGUCCUAGCUUAUAGCGCAUUGGUACGGUGGUUAUAGAACGGUCGCUUCUAGGCUAAAUGCUAUAGGUUCGAGGCGCCACUUCAUGUGUAUUGUGGGCUACGUGUCCUUGGGGAAGAAAAUUAACGGCGACUGCUACACGCCAAAGUUCUGAGUUGUCCAAAUUAUCAGCCAUACAGAAAAACAAACACCCACGAAGUUACAUAUGUGGUAACUUGUAAGCAAGGUCUAUUAAAAUAUAGACUAUUCUAUAAUAUUAAACUCCUCGCCGCGUAAGUCUGCGUGAAAAUUAGUUUUAUGGUUUUCGUCUGUAUAAGAAAGAGGUAUUGCUAUAUUUGGGGCAAGGAAAAGGGCACUGGCUGAUUAAAGAAAGCAUCAGCGAGACAUUCGCCAAGCAAUCUUCAUAAAAUUGGCCGCAUGAGUGAGCGGUGAGACAUCAUAUUGUUGAGCAAUACCGUUUGCAAUGUUGCUUCUAAUGGGGAACCCCCAUCAAAGGGAACGUAACAAUGCUGAGUGUUUACGUAAUAAUGUACAAUAAAAGUCGAGAAAUGGCAGAUUGCUGAUUUAUCAAAACAAAUAGAUACUGUACAAGCAAACAAUGAAAUAGUUACAAGACCUGACACUG